RNAcentral lists this ribosomal RNA (305 nucleotides) under Halorubrum sp. TP203. RNAcentral's name for it is "bacterial SSU rRNA". It matches the Rfam family "Archaeal small subunit ribosomal RNA", at positions 18 to 324 of the family's 1478-position model. The record is from RNAcentral. Lineage: Archaea; Methanobacteriati; Methanobacteriota; Halobacteria; Halobacteriales; Haloferacaceae. RNAcentral also lists the same sequence under 2 other names.
CGGAGGCCAUUGCUAUUGGGAUCCGAUUUAGCCAUGCUAGUCGCACGAGUUCAGACUCGUGGCGAAUAGCUCAGUAACACGUGGCCAAACUACCCUUCGGAACACAAUACCCUCGGGAAACUGAGGCUAAUAGUGUAUACCAUACCACCACUGGAAUGAGUGGUAUGCCAAACGCCCCGGCGCCGAAGGAUGUGGCUGCGGCCGAUUAGGUAGACGGUGGGGUAACGGCCCACCGUGCCAAUAAUCGGUAUGGGUCAUGAGAGUGAGAACCCAGAGACGGAAUCUGAGACAAGAUUCCGGGCCCU